Molecule: non-coding RNA, 1278 nt
Organism: Bactrocera oleae (olive fruit fly)
Lineage: Eukaryota; Metazoa; Arthropoda; Insecta; Diptera; Tephritidae
Source: RefSeq, a predicted model, not a curated record
CUUGGCUGAUGGCAACACUAAGGCUAAAAAAAACAAUUGGUUUUCCUACAACUAUUUAUAAUGUUCACAGAACAUGGAUGUUCUUCUGAUUGUUAUUCUAAAAACUAUGAGAAAUAAAAAUGCGAUUCUAAAAAGUAAUGAAACUCUGUAUCGUAUUCGCAUUGUUGUUCGAAUAUGUUUUGUAAAAAGGAGCAACACUGAAGACAAAGGUCAAAAAAAUAUAAACAGCUGUUUGUAAAUGAGCACCGAAAAAAAAUCCAACAAAUAUAAAUUGUAAUAUUGAAUUGAUAAAAAACAUAAUAUAAAAUCAAUAGCAUUUUGGAACAUAAUAAGGUUGGAAGGAUUGAGCGAAGAAUUUUUAGAGACCAAAGCAACAUAAUUACGAAAGGAGGCUUUGCACAAAAUUUCCGGCUCUGCAAAGAAGCCUUCAUAUACGUGUAGGAAUUUUGGCUAUAUGGAAGCUCUAAGCUGCGCUAAAAUUUUUAACCGAAAGGAGGUUAUCUGAAGCAAAUUGGCAGCGAUCUUCAACCUAUAUGAAGUCAAACACAUAACCUUCCAAAUGAUUGUGCAAGAUGAAAGGGAUGCGAAGUUGUAAUUUUUUUUUUUUAAUUUGGCAUUCCUUCAACAAUUGAAGCGAUUGUUGGAAUGCAUAUUCAAAUAGUGCGUCCAACAGUAAAUGAACAAAGGUACUUCAAUAGGAAAUUAACAUAGAGUAUAUGUGGUUAUAUGUGACCAUAAAAUAGAUGUAAGAGCCGUUGAUGCUCGUUUUGGUGGUGCAUCCCACGAUUCACCCGUGUGGAAUUUGUCACUUGAGGAACGCAAACUGAAGCAUCGCUUUGAACAGCGACAGAGUAACACGUCGCUUAGAUUUUUUUUAUUAUUUAUUUAUACCAAUUUCUCAAUUGUUUAUUUUUUAUUGAUAUUUAAGGAGACUGGAUAUAUCCUCUGGAAGCCUGGUUGUUAACACUGUAAAAGCGUGAAUGUAGACUCUGGGGAAGCAAAAUUUAACGAAGAACAUUCUUAAGCUAGAUCAAUUGUAGAACAAGAAUUAUAUGAAUAUGAAAAACCAUCCUUUUCGACUCUAUCACGCUCUAAACUUAUCCGAUUCAUUUUUGAGUGCCGACUUCUCAAUAGUUUCACAUAGGAAUGUUUUUAGAUAAUUUUCAGCCAUCCUGAAACCGUGUAUUUACGUUUGCUAAUAAACGAAAAAAAAACCGAAACAAAAUUUAUUUUAUACUAAAUAUUAGCUUGCUUUUUUUUAUGCAGCCUCUUAAUAAU